Molecule: long non-coding RNA, 4235 nt
Organism: Acinonyx jubatus (cheetah)
Lineage: Eukaryota; Metazoa; Chordata; Mammalia; Carnivora; Felidae
Exons: 5
Source: RefSeq, a predicted model, not a curated record
UGAAUUUAUGCUACAUUUGAAGAAAUGCUUCUGAAGAGGGACAGAUGUCCAUCCCCCAAAGAGAGAAAGGCGCAGGAUCCUGUGACUCACUUUUCCUCUGGAUCGGAGGGGAGCAAGCUGUCAUGAAUUCUACAGCCACAAGGAUACGAAUUCUGCCAACAACCUGAGGGAAUGGGGAGGUUUACUCUUUCCUAUUCAAGCUUCCAGUGAGAACUGAGUCCAGCCAAUACCUUGAUUCCCAUCCACUAAAACGUGCCUGGACCAACGGAAGUAGUCAAGUUUGAGUAGCAUACAGCACUUUUCUCACUUCCUCUCCUGAGUGGUUAGAGCGGCUGGCUGCUGUGGCAAUCUCAUUUGUAUUUCCUAGAUUAUCUUCCCUUUUUGAGGGGUUGGGACAGGCUCCUCGUACUGGCCAGGAGGACGAAGGAAGAAGAUGGCAGAACCAGAUGCCAUUGGACUUCCCUCCGGUGCUGGACAGGUCGGCCAACGGGGCCCUGUCUACUACGGCACAGGGUGGAGGCCUCCCAGUUUUGGGUUUCCAGGGCUCUCCAGGGAUGAAUGGAGCCCAUUCUCUCUCAGCCACACAGAAAAUAAAGGGCCAGCUCAGCCCGACUGCAGUUGUUGUAGAGGACAGCCAGCCUCUGUGAGAUCAGUGGAGCCCCCCACCUCAUGAGGUCACAUGUAGUCAUGACAGCACAAUUAAUGCCUCCAAGACAGGAAAAAAUUGCAUCAGGGACUGAAGAACUUUGGAAUUUUUACUUUUUGAAACACAUUCACUACUAAUUCUGUCAUUGAAGAACCUCAAAAUGUCAAACUGAGCAGACUCCCUAUCUCUCACUACUCUGAAAAACCUGGAAAUGAAAUCCACGUGAGUGAAGCCAGCACAUCUACCCUUGUGGAAGUGGAGGACUUUGGUUCCAAGUGGGCAUCACACUCAAAAGGGAGCAUCAGAUCUGCUGAACACAGACCAGACCCUUGGCCCAGCCCCAUCCCUUCCGGCCAAAGACUAGAUCAAGUUCAUCCGUGUGGCCUACGAACCCUUCAGGCUCACCAAAGAGACCGCUAAAUACAGGUGGGUCCAUCCAAUGACGAGGAAGGUCACCCGGCAGAUGGAUGAUGUCAAGUAAGCAGCGGUGGGAGCACGAGGUUAGAGGCUAGAAAGAGAGCCCACAAAGGCAUUAAAAAAUCCAAACCCAGCCCCGAAGCUGUGGCCUAGAGAAAUGUGUGCGGUGGCUGAUAAACACGGAUUUCCUGGCGUGGUGCCGUCCGAGGGCAUCUGGGCUUGAACGAAGUCACACCGCUAAGCCCCCUGGGGAGCGAGAAGAAAAGGCUCGGGGACGUGCUGGCUGGGCUUCUGAGGGACACCACUGCCACCUCGCAGGGCUGUUGUGAGGGCUUGAUGAGUUCACGCACACGGGGCUGAGAACGAGCUCUGCACAUUAUCAGCACCCUGCCGAUGUCGGCUGUUUUUCCAGAGUGACUCUGACACGCAUCCACUCAAAUGAGCUCACAUCUCCCUCGCCAGUGACUCGCUUAACAAGAACCAGCUUUGUGGCCAACGUGUGAGGCCACCUGCGCCCUCCGCCGGAAAGCGCGGCGUCCCAGCUCCGCCCGGCUCGCCGCACAGCCCCACGCUCCCCUCCCCGUGCUUUCCACCACCAGGUCCUCAGGUUAGGGUCGCACAGUGCACCGCAUCCCACUUUUUAUCACAGGCUUCCGAACGCACCCAACAGAGAAGACAGAGGGGGUACAGGAAGAAGGAAAGGACAGGAGAGAGAAGUUUCCAUCUAUCAGGAGGAAACCCCAGACGUGCAAAUUGAUCUCUUCGGCCCCAUGAAUCGUCCCACCUCCAGCAUUCGGUCUGGAUUCUGAAUGAGGUAAUGCUCCAAUUAGAGGCUGGUGCACUUAAGCUGAGAAAGGCAUGAGGUCGUUUAGGCCACUCGGGUGCAAGAAGGCCAAGGGGGUGGUGCUCACCUUUGUACUCGGCCAGACACACACACUCGUAGCCAUUAACGAGGUCCCUGCAGGUGGCUGCGUUCAGGCACGGAGCAGACAGGCACUCGUUGUAUUCCUCCUCGCAGUAGAGGCCGUGGUAACCUGAGGGACGGAGAAAAAGGCCUGCGGUCACACGUGUCCCAAUCACCCCCACACUGGACCAGCCUAGAAGAGAGGCGGCUGGGUAUUGAUCGGAAGCAUGGCAUGGACAGAUGGGAUUUACGGAUUUGAGUCCCUUGGGGUGUAUGGAAACGUGGGUUCCCGGGAAGAGUUUCCUAUGACGAGUCUGUUUUCAUCACCCUCUUUCAUGAUCCCAAGUAUAAAGGAAAUGAUCCGAUUUAUCCACCAGAUGGUCUCAGGAUGACAUCGCGUCCAACGGCACUGGUGACCCGGAGGCCGGGGUCACUGAGUGCAUCUGCUGUGGCUGCAGGAGACGGGGAUGAGAGCAGCAGGGCUCACGGCAUGGAGCAUCAGCUCCUUUCAAGGAUGGGGACCACCCUUCCUCCGACUGGAAAAGUGUUAUCCAGUAACCACAGAGAAUUUUAUUAAAGGAGGAAAGGAUUGAUGUAUUUCCUUUGCUUUUCAGGUCAAGAAGAGACUCAGCUAAAAAAGGCUUUGCUGUAAUUCCUGGUAAAAUCUGGGGUAUUUUUUUUUUAAUUUAAAAUUAUGAUGAUCUCAAUGAUAACAUUUUAAAUUGUACUUUAAAAUGCUAAUGGUUAAAAAUAGAUGAAGAGCAAUGGAGAAAAAGAAACCGACAGUUUCUCAAUAAAGACGGCUUUUACUCUAUUUGCAAAACAGGUGUUUAUUCUAAAGGACAAGAAGACAACAUUCUCUGAGAUUCACUCGUGAAUGUUAUACUGUUUUUAACUUUCAAAAACAUGCGUCAGUGCCAAUUUGCAGUGAAACCGAGCCAUUUUUUUUUUCUGGCCCUGUCCAAACAAUGAGAAACACGUGAGUGCUUUCAAAAAUCACCCUGCCUGUGUUGGUUCUGAAUUCAGAUAAGCAGAAAAAAUAAACCUUUGCUCAAACGGGAACUAGAACUACUAGUUUGAGUAGUUUUUUUUUUUUUCUCCCCAGCUUUCCAACCCAUAGCCAACCUCCAAACCCAGCAAGUUUCAUUAAGACAUGCUAAUGUGUUGAACUGUUUUGUUUUCAGUCCCUGUUGCAAAAGUAGGUUAAACUCAUAUUUGCAUUAUCGACAGAACACUUUUCAAUUGCUAUUGUUUUUGAACUGCUUUCCCAAAUUAGGUGGUGCUAACAGCCCCUCAGAGGAGACCUCGACCUACCUGAGACAAAUAUGCCAUGGUUUUCAAUUGUUCUGUCCUACCCUACUUUUUGUAAUUUUAGGGCAAUAUUUCUCGACACUCUUCAUCAGUAUUUUGAUCAUCCAGAUCAGAGUUUCUCAACUGACAGCAAUUUUGCCCCCAGAAUACAUUUGGCAAUGCUUUUAGAGACACAUUUGGUUGUCACAACCAGGGUGGUAGGGAAGGAGCUGCCCCUGGUACCCAGUGUCAGGGUGCUGUUCAACAUCCUACGGGGCAUAGGACAGCCCUCCACAACAAGCUAUCCAGCUAAAAUGCUAAGAGAGCCAGACAGAGAACCCUGCUCUAGAUCCAGCAAACUCCGGCUCACGGGCCAAAUCCAUCCCAGUCUGGUGUUGUAAAUGAAGUUUUGUUGGGACACAGCCACACUCAUCCAUUUAUGUAUCGUCUCUGGCUGCAUUCCCACUACAAUGGCAGCCUGAGUAGUCGCAACAGAGAUCAUAUGGCUUGCAAAGCCCCAAAUCUUUACUCUCUGGUGUCUUAUACAACAAGUUUGCUGAUUCCUGAUCUACGUUCAACAGAAAAUCUUUCUUCUUACAGGAGUUUUGGAUAUUAACUUCUUAUCAAAUAUGCACACUGCCAACACUUCCUCCCGUUCCAUAGUUGGCUUUUAUUCAGUUGAUUGCUUCCUUUGCCAUGAAGUUUCUUAGUUUGAUAUAGCCGUAUUUGCCUACUUUUACUUUUGUUGCCUCUGCUUUUGGUGUCAUAUCUAAGAAAUCAUUGCCAAGACCAAUGCUAAGAAGUUUUUCCCCCAUAUUUUCUUCAGGGAGUGUUAGAGUUUCACGUCUUACAUUUAGGUCUUGAAUCCAUUUUGAGCUGGGUGUUUUUUUUUUUUUUUUUUUUUUUGUGGAAGAUACAAAUGGCCAACAGGUAUACAAAAAGAUUCUCAGGAUCACUGGUCAAGGAAAUAAAAUCAAA